Molecule: ribosomal RNA, 301 nt
Filed under: uncultured bacterium
Lineage: Bacteria
Description: partial 16S ribosomal RNA
Rfam family: Bacterial small subunit ribosomal RNA
Source: RNAcentral
CAGCAGCCACGGGAAUACAGAGGGUGCGAGCGUUAAUCGGAUUUACUGGGCGUAAAGCGUGCGUAGGCGGCUUCUUAAGUCGGAUGUGAAAUCCCUGAGCUUAACUUAGGAAUUGCAUUCGAUACUGGGAAGCUAGAGUAUGGGAGAGGAUGGUAGAAUUCCAGGUGUAGCGGUGAAAUGCGUAGAGAUCUGGAGGAAUACCGAUGGCGGAGGCAGCCAUCUGGCCUAAUACUGACGCUGAGGUACGAAAGCAUGGGGAGCAAACAGGAUUAGAUACCCGCGUAGUCCCUGUCUCUUAUAC